UACAGAGGUCUCAAGCGUUGUUCGGAUUCAUUGGGCGUAAAGGGUGCGUAGGUGGCGUCGUAAGUCGGGUGUGAAAUUUCGGAGCUUAACUCCGAAACUGCAUUCGAUACUGGCGUGCUUGAGGACUGGAGAGGAGACUGGAAUUUACGGUGUAGCAGUGAAAUGCGUAGAUAUCGUAAGGAAGACCAGUGGCGAAGGCGGGUCUCUGGACAGUUCCUGACACUGAGACACGAAGGCCAGGGGAGCAAACGGG
RNAcentral lists this ribosomal RNA (253 nucleotides) under uncultured bacterium. RNAcentral's name for it is "partial 16S ribosomal RNA". It matches the Rfam family "Bacterial small subunit ribosomal RNA", at positions 524 to 776 of the family's 1533-position model. The record is from RNAcentral.